Molecule: unclassified non-coding RNA, 327 nt
Filed under: plant metagenome
Description: partial contains 5.8S ribosomal RNA, internal transcribed spacer 2, and large subunit ribosomal RNA
Rfam family: 5.8S ribosomal RNA (bases 1-105)
Source: RNAcentral
GAAAUGCGAUAAGUAAUGUGAAUUGCAGAAUUCAGUGAAUCAUCGAAUCUUUGAACGCACAUUGCGCCCGUUAGCAUUCUAGCGGGCAUGCCUGUCCGAGCGUCAUUUCAACCCUCAGGGCCCCCCGUUCCGGCGGGCGGACCUGGCGUUGGGGAUCGGCCCGCCCCGUGCGGCGCCGUCCCCCAAAUACAGUGGCGGUCCCGCCGCAGCCUCCCCUGCGUAGUAGUUUACAACCUCGCAUCGGAGCGCGGCGCGGCCACGCCGUAAAACCCCCGACUUUCUGAACGUUGACCUCGGAUCAUGUAGGAAUACCCGCUGAACUUAAGC